RNAcentral lists this ribosomal RNA (497 nucleotides) under uncultured bacterium. Its description in RNAcentral is "partial 16S ribosomal RNA". It matches the Rfam family "Bacterial small subunit ribosomal RNA", at positions 28 to 507 of the family's 1533-position model. The record is from RNAcentral.
GAUGAACGCUGGCGGCGUGCCUAAUACAUGCAAGUCGAACGCAUAGCGAAAGCUUCUUCCACCUUUCAAGGGCGUGGCGAACGGUUAAGCAACACGAUGACCACCUGCCUCAAGGCUGAGGACCACAAUUGGGCACAGAUACUAAUACCGAACAAAACUUAGUGUCGCAUGAUACAAAGAUCAAAGGCGCUCCGGUGUCCCUUAGAGGUGGAUCCGGGUUGGAUUAGUUAGUUGGUGGGGUAACGGCCUACCAAGACUAUGAUGCAUAGCCGAGCUGAGAGGAUGAUCGGCCACAUUGGAACUGAGACACGGUCCAAACUCCUACGGGAGGCUGCAGUAGGGAAUCUUCGACAAUGGGCGAAAGCCUGAUGGAGCCAUGCCGCGUGUGUGAAGAAGGCUUUCGGGUCGUAAAGCACUGUUGUUUGGGAAGAACAGCAGGAAGAGGAUAUGAUUCUGGUUUGACGGUACCAAACGAGAAAGCAACGGCUAACUACGUG